CCUACGGGAGGCAGCAGUGGGGAAUCUUCCGCAAUGGACGAAAGUCUGACGGAGCAACGCCGCGUGAGUGAUGAAGGAUUUCGGUCUGUAAAGCUCUGUUGUUUAUGACGAACGUGCAGUGUGUGAACAAUGCAUUGCAAUGACGGUAGUAAACGAGGAAGCCACGGCUAACUACGUGCCAGCAGCCGCGGUAAUACGUAGGUGGCGAGCGUUGUCCGGAAUUAUUGGGCGUAAAGAGCAUGUAGGCGGCUUAAUAAGUCGAGCGUGAAAAUGCGGGGCUCAACCCCGUAUGGCGCUGGAAACUGUUAGGCUUGAGUGCAGGAGAGGAAAGGGGAAUUCCCAGUGUAGCGGUGAAAUGCGUAGAUAUUGGGAGGAACACCAGUGGCGAAGGCGCCUUUCUGGACUGUGUCUGACGCUGAGAUGCGAAAGCCAGGGUAGCG
Molecule: ribosomal RNA, 440 nt
Filed under: uncultured Phascolarctobacterium sp.
Lineage: Bacteria; Bacillati; Bacillota; Negativicutes; Acidaminococcales; Acidaminococcaceae
Description: bacterial SSU rRNA
Rfam family: Bacterial small subunit ribosomal RNA
Source: RNAcentral